UGGGGAAUAUUGGACAAUGGGCGAAAGCCUGAUCCAGCCAUGCCGCGUGUGUGAAGAAGGUCUUCGGAUUGUAAAGCACUUUAAGUUGGGAGGAAGGGCAGUAAAUUAAUACUUUGCUGUUUUGACGUUACCGACAGAAUAAGCACCGGCUAACUCUGUGCCAGCAGCCGCGGUAAUACAGAGGGUGCAAGCGUUAAUCGGAAUUACUGGGCGUAAAGCGCGCGUAGGUGGUUCAUUAAGUUGGAUGUGAAAUCCCCGGGCUCAACCUGGGAACUGCAUUCAAACUGACGAGCUAGAGUAUGGUAGAGGGUGGUGGAAUUUCCUGUGUACGGUGAAAUGCGUAGAUAUAGGAAGGAACACCAGUGGCGAAGGCGACCACCUGGACUGAUACUGACACUGAGGUGCGAAAGCGUGGGGAGCAAACAGGAUUAGAUACCCU
Molecule: ribosomal RNA, 439 nt
Filed under: uncultured bacterium
Lineage: Bacteria
Description: partial 16S ribosomal RNA
Rfam family: Bacterial small subunit ribosomal RNA
Source: RNAcentral